This 468-nucleotide ribosomal RNA is filed under the name uncultured bacterium. Its description in RNAcentral is "partial 16S ribosomal RNA". It matches the Rfam family "Bacterial small subunit ribosomal RNA", at positions 28 to 507 of the family's 1533-position model. The record is from RNAcentral.
GACGAACGCUGGCGGCGUGCUUAACACAUGCAAGUCGAACGGAAAGGCCCUGCUUUUGUGGGGUGCUCGAGUGGCGAACGGGUGAGUAACACGUGAGUAACCUGCCCUUGACUUUGGGAUAACUUCAGGAAACUGGGGCUAAUACCGGAUAGGAGCUCCUGCUGCAUGGUGGGGGUUGGAAAGUUUCGGCGGUUGGGGAUGGACUCGCGGCUUAUCAACUUGUUGGUGGGGUAGUGGCUUACCAAGGCUUUGACGGGUAGCCGGCCUGAGAGGGUGACCGGCCACAUUGGGACUGAGAUACGGCCCAGACUCCUACGGGAGGCAGCAGUGGGGAAUAUUGUACAAUGGGCGGAAGCCUGAUGCAGCAACGCCGCGUGCGGGAUGACGGCCUUCGGGUUGUAAACCGCUUUCGCCUGUGACGAAGCGUGAGUGACGGUAAUGGGUAAAGAAGCACCGGCUAACUACGUG